RNAcentral lists this ribosomal RNA (496 nucleotides) under uncultured bacterium. RNAcentral's name for it is "partial 16S ribosomal RNA". It matches the Rfam family "Bacterial small subunit ribosomal RNA", at positions 29 to 507 of the family's 1533-position model. The record is from RNAcentral.
AUGAACGCUGGCGGCGUGCCUCAUACCUGCAAGUCGAGCGAACGGACGAGAAGCUUGCUUCUCUGAUGUUAGCGGCGGACGGGUGAGUAACACGUGGAUAACCUACCUAUAAGACUGGGAUAACUUCGGGAAACCGGAGCUAAUACCGGAUAAUAUUUUGAACCGCAUGGUUCAAAAGUGAAAGACGGUCUUGCUGUCACUUAUAGAUGGAUCCGCGCUGCAUUAGCUAGUUGGUAAGGUAACGGCUUACCAAGGCAACGAUGCAUAGCCGACCUGAGAGGGUGAUCGGCCACACUGGAACUGAGACACGGUCCAGACUCCUACGGGAGGCAGCAGUAGGGAAUCUUCAGCAAUGGGCGAAAGCCUGACGGAGCAACGCCGCGUGAGUGAUGAAGGUCUUCGGAUCGUAAAACUCUGUUAUUAGGGAAGAACAUAUGUGUAAGUAACUGUGCACAUCUUGACGGUACCUAAUCAGAAAGCCACGGCUAACUACGUG